RNAcentral lists this transfer RNA (73 nucleotides) under Planctomycetota bacterium. RNAcentral describes it as "Planctomycetes bacterium (freshwater metagenome) tRNA-Pro". It matches the Rfam family "tRNA". From Rfam's summary of the family: Transfer RNA (tRNA) molecules are approximately 80 nucleotides in length. Their secondary structure includes four short double-helical elements and three loops (D, anti-codon, and T loops). Lineage: Bacteria; Pseudomonadati; Planctomycetota. The record is from RNAcentral.
CGGGCAGAGGUGCAGAGGGGAGCACGCUUGCUUCGGGAGCAGGAGGGUUCCGGUUCGACUCCGGGGUGCCCGA